This 77-nucleotide transfer RNA is filed under the name Deltaproteobacteria bacterium. RNAcentral describes it as "tRNA-Arg". It matches the Rfam family "tRNA". From Rfam's summary of the family: Transfer RNA (tRNA) molecules are approximately 80 nucleotides in length. Their secondary structure includes four short double-helical elements and three loops (D, anti-codon, and T loops). Further hydrogen bonds mediate the characteristic L-shaped molecular structure. tRNAs have two regions of fundamental functional importance: the anti-codon, which is responsible for specific mRNA codon recognition, and the 3' end, to which the tRNAs corresponding amino acid is attached (by aminoacyl-tRNA synthetases). tRNAs cope with the degeneracy of the genetic code in two manners: having more than one tRNA (with a specific anti-codon) for a particular amino acid; and 'wobble' base-pairing, i.e. permitting non-standard base-pairing at the 3rd anti-codon position. The record is from RNAcentral. Lineage: Bacteria; Pseudomonadati; Myxococcota; Myxococcia.
GCGUCCGUAGCUCAGCUGGAUAGAGCACCGGGCUUCGAACCCGGGUGUCGGAGGUUCGAAUCCUUCCGGGCGCGCCA